CAGACCACGGUUUGUCAGUGCAUCCUUUAUUUGUAAUUCAAAUAAUUCAGCAAUCUAUUCAGAUUAUGCUGCAUGUGGUCCGAUACAUUAUUUCUUAUGGAAAUAUAUGAGCGUGAUAAUGAUUCUUCACUUGUGCAGCUUCAUGCCACACUCAGGAGAAAGCAAGAGGAAACAUCUGCCCUGAAGAAGACAAAUGCCCAGCUGAGAAAUCUGGCUACACAAUACUAGAUCUUUAACUAACUCCACCACUGACACAGAAAGGCUGACAGGGCUUAAGCGGCGGCUCUGGUCCAGAUGUGCAUCAGGUUCCAAGCAGCCCAGGCUUGAAAAUGAACUUGGACAGAUAGACUUGGAGCAUCUGAAGGCCCAGCUGGACCCGGAUGAACG
This is a long non-coding RNA of Cyprinus carpio carpio, 387 nucleotides long. The record is from Ensembl. NCBI's taxonomy places the organism in Eukaryota, Metazoa, Chordata, Actinopteri, Cypriniformes, Cyprinidae.